UACACUCCUACGGGAGGCAGCAGUGGGGAAUAUUGGACAAUGGGCGCAAGCCUGAUCCAGCCAUGCCGCGUGAGUGAUGAAGGCCCUAGGGUUGUAAAGCUCUUUCACCGGUGAAGAUAAUGACGGUAACCGGAGAAGAAGCCCCGGCUAACUUCGUGCCAGCAGCCGCGGUAAUACGAAGGGGGCUAGCGUUGUUCGGAUUUACUGGGCGUAAAGCGCACGUAGGCGGACUAUUAAGUCAGGGGUGAAAUCCCGGGGCUCAACCCCGGAACUGCCUUUGAUACUGGUAGUCUUGAGUUCGAGAGAGGUGAGUGGAAUUCCGAGUGGAGAGGUGAAAUUCGUAGAUAUUCGGAGGAACACCAGUGGCGAAGGCGGCUCACUGGCUCGAUACUGACGCUGAGGUGCGAAAGCGUGGGGAGCAAACAGGAUUAGAAACCCUGGUAGUCCC
This 448-nucleotide ribosomal RNA is filed under the name uncultured organism. RNAcentral describes it as "partial 16S ribosomal RNA". It matches the Rfam family "Bacterial small subunit ribosomal RNA", at positions 332 to 797 of the family's 1533-position model. The record is from RNAcentral.